GACGAACGCUGGCGGCGUGCUUAACACAUGCAAGUCGAACGGUAAGGCCCUUCGGGGUACACGAGUGGCGAACGGGUGAGUAACACGUGGGUGAUCUGCCCUGCACUUCGGGAUAAGCCUGGGAAACUGGGUCUAAUACCGGAUAGGACCACUGCCUGCAUGGGUGGUGGGGGAAAGCUUUUGCGGUGUGGGAUGGGCCCGCGGCCUAUCAGCUUGUUGGUGGGGUGAUGGCCUACCAAGGCGACGACGGGUAGCCGGCCUGAGAGGGUGACCGACCACACUGGGACUGAGAUACGGCCCAGACUCCUACGGGAGGCAGCAGUGGGGAAUAUUGCACAAUGGGCGCAAGCCUGAUGCAGCGACGCCGCGUGAGGGAUGACGGCCUUCGGGUUGUAAACCUCUUUCAGCACCGACGAAGCGCAAGUGACGGUAGGUGCAGAAGAAGGACCGGCCAACUACGUGCCAGCAGCCGCCGUAA
RNAcentral lists this ribosomal RNA (478 nucleotides) under uncultured bacterium. RNAcentral describes it as "partial 16S ribosomal RNA". It matches the Rfam family "Bacterial small subunit ribosomal RNA", at positions 28 to 523 of the family's 1533-position model. The record is from RNAcentral.